Molecule: long non-coding RNA, 134 nt
Organism: Perognathus longimembris pacificus (Pacific pocket mouse)
Lineage: Eukaryota; Metazoa; Chordata; Mammalia; Rodentia; Heteromyidae
Exons: 3
Source: RefSeq, a predicted model, not a curated record
GAGGAAUCUAAAGUUUUUGUUUUGUUUUGUGUACUAGGUGAAGUUCCUAGGGCAUACACCGUAUGGUUACUGUAUAUGAUUUUGUUACACUGGAUAUUGUAUAUAUGCUUAUCUGAACUAGGGAAGGGAAAGAA